AUUGAACGCUGGCGGCAUGCCUUACACAUGCAAGUCGAACGGCAGCACGGGAGCAAUCCUGGUGGCGAGUGGCGAACGGGUGAGUAAUAUAUCGGAACGUGCCCAGGCGUGGGGGAUAACGUAGCGAAAGCUACGCUAAUACCGCAUACGAUCUAUGGAUGAAAGCGGGGGAUAGCAAGACCUCGCGCGAUAGGAGCGGCCGAUAUCAGAUUAGGUAGUUGGUGGGGUAAAGGCUCACCAAGCCGACGAUCUGUAGCUGGUCUGAGAGGACGACCAGCCACACUGGGACUGAGACACGGCCCAGACUCCUACGGGAGGCAGCAGUGGGGAAUUUUGGACAAUGGGCGCAAGCCUGAUCCAGCAAUGCCGCGUGCAGGAUGAAGGCCUUCGGGUUGUAAACCGCUUUUGUACGGAGCGAAAAGGCUCUCUCUAAUACAGGGGGCUCAUGACGGUACCGUAAGAAUAAGCACCGGCUAACUACGUGCCAGCCGCCGCAGUAA
Molecule: ribosomal RNA, 500 nt
Filed under: uncultured bacterium
Lineage: Bacteria
Description: partial 16S ribosomal RNA
Rfam family: Bacterial small subunit ribosomal RNA
Source: RNAcentral